GUGUGUGGAUCAAGAUGAGAUUGAUCCUUUUAGAUUAUAGGAGCUGAUAUAUCAUUGUAUUUCAAUUUAGUAAAAUCUUGAUCAGGAUAAUUCAUGAGAUAGAUUUGAAAGGUUGAAAUACAAUAUGGAUGGAGUACUCCAGAUUGACAGUUAACCUAAGAUCAUCCUGGAGUAUUCAGGAUCAAAGGAAUGAAUUAUGCGAUAACC
RNAcentral lists this long non-coding RNA (207 nucleotides) under Elaeis guineensis (African oil palm). RNAcentral describes it as "long non-coding RNA (EGUI_LNC058485)". Lineage: Eukaryota; Viridiplantae; Streptophyta; Magnoliopsida; Arecales; Arecaceae. The record is from RNAcentral.